AUACGUAGGUGGCAAGCGUUGGCCGGAAUUAUUGGGCGUAAAGCGCAUGUAGGCGGCGCGGUAAGUCUGGAGCGAAAGUCCUGCUUUCAAGGUGGGAAUUGCUUUGGAUACUGCCGCUCUGGAGUGCAGGAGAGGUUAUCGGAAUUCCCGGUGUAGCGGUGAAAGGAGUAUAGAUCGGGAGGAAGUGCAGUGGCGUAGGCGGGUAACUGGACUGCAACUGACGCUGAGGCGCGAAAGUGUGGAGAGCAAACAGGAUUAGAUACCCUGGUAGUCCACACUGUAAACGAUGAAUGCUAGGUGUAAGAGGUAUCGACCCCUUUUGUGCCGGAGUCAACACAAUAAGCAUUCCGCCUGGGGAGUACGGCCGCAAGGUUGAAACUCAAAGGAAUCGACGGGG
Molecule: ribosomal RNA, 397 nt
Filed under: uncultured bacterium
Lineage: Bacteria
Description: partial 16S ribosomal RNA
Rfam family: Bacterial small subunit ribosomal RNA
Source: RNAcentral